CCGCUUGCUAACGUGCAGACCAUUUAUUUAAUGAAAGGGAAAUCAAAAACGUAUGAAUUCACGCUUUCUCGAGAGUGGGCAGUCACUCAUUACAAGCCAAUUGACAUGAUCAGAAAGCAUUCACACGUCCUGUAGCAGACACAGAACAGAAAGGAGGGGCGAAUUAAUGUCUUUUGGUUUUGAUCAAAGCAAACCCUAGGCCUCACUGAGAAGGCUUACCUUGUGACUCGAGAUUUUUGAAAGCCACAUUACCUGUGAUGCUUAACAAGACCAGCCAAGCAUCACAUAAAAUUACUUUGCAAAUGUUGAGGGGACACAAUUAGCCACCUCUGCCUUAAGACUGGCACCUAUCAAUUUUUUUACAUUUAUUUCUUUACUGGCCUUUAAAAAGCGCCAACAUAUUCCGUAGCGCUGAUUCAUGCAUAGUACCUGUCACCAGGAAAACUU
Molecule: non-coding RNA, 447 nt
Organism: Pelobates cultripes (western spadefoot toad)
Lineage: Eukaryota; Metazoa; Chordata; Amphibia; Anura; Pelobatidae
Source: the annotation of a GenBank genome assembly